AAAGAGUAGCUAUGGAUGCAAGACCCUGCAUGGCCAAUCAAGUUCAUCACCUUCGACUAGCUGUUGAUGGAGCAAGAAGCUGGUUUGCUGAGAGGAAAUGAUCAACAACUAACAGAUUGCUCAGUAAUUUUCAAGUGUAUUUACUCAUGUAUUUUCAUUAUUUUUUCUGGGUGAUGUUUUAGCAAGAAGCUGGUUUGCUGAGAGGAAAUGAUCAACUACCAACACUAGGGCUGGAGCGUUAGCCACUACACUCGCUGCUGCUUAGUAUCUAUGGAAAUUGCUUGGUCUUUUUUGUAUGGCUCUAUUGACAUUAGGUGCUUCAGUUCAUCAAUCAAAUGUUAUGUUUUUGUA
Prunus avium (sweet cherry) is the source of this 351-nucleotide non-coding RNA. The record is from RefSeq and is a predicted model, not a curated record. Lineage: Eukaryota; Viridiplantae; Streptophyta; Magnoliopsida; Rosales; Rosaceae.